CGGCUGCCCUGCGAGCUUCCAG
RNAcentral lists this unclassified non-coding RNA (22 nucleotides) under Mus musculus (house mouse). RNAcentral describes it as "oocyte_clustered_small_RNA10032". The record is from RNAcentral. Lineage: Eukaryota; Metazoa; Chordata; Mammalia; Rodentia; Muridae.